AUUGAACGCUGGCGGCAUGCUUUACACAUGCAAGUCGAACGGUAACAGGCCGCAAGGUGCUGACGAGUGGCGAACGGGUGCGUAAUGCAUCGGAACGUGCCCAGUCGUGGGGGAUAACUACUCUAAAGAGUAGCUAAUACCGCAUCCGAUCUAUGGAUGAAAGCGGUGGACCGUAAGGCCUCGCGCGAUUGGAGCGGCCGAUGUCCGAUUAGGUAGUUGGUGGGGUAAAGGCUCACCAAGCCGACGAUCUGUAGCUGAUCUGAGAGGACGACCAGCCACACUGGGACGGAGACACGGACAAGACGCCUAAGGGAGGCAGCAGAGGGGAAUUUUGGACAAUGGGCGCAAGCAUGAUACAGCAAUGCCGCGUGCAGGAAGAAGGCGUUCGGGUUGUAAACUGCGUUUGUACGGAACGAAACGGCUCUGGUUAAUACCCAGGGCUAAUGACGGUACCGUAAGAAUAAGCACCGGCUAACUACGUG
Molecule: ribosomal RNA, 482 nt
Filed under: uncultured bacterium
Lineage: Bacteria
Description: partial 16S ribosomal RNA
Rfam family: Bacterial small subunit ribosomal RNA
Source: RNAcentral